RNAcentral lists this unclassified non-coding RNA (378 nucleotides) under Hevea brasiliensis (rubber tree). Lineage: Eukaryota; Viridiplantae; Streptophyta; Magnoliopsida; Malpighiales; Euphorbiaceae. The record is from RNAcentral.
GAAUUAUUGCCAUUUGUGAGAUUUCCCUUACUGCCAUAUCACAUGCUGAAGAAGUUGGGGCAGAGCAAUCUUAGCACGCACAUUCACAUUUUUGAUAAUCUUGUGAGGGAGGGUAUCAAUUAUGUAGAAUUUGGAUUAGCAAUGGCAGAAAGUGACCAAAACGAACGGUUUCAACAUAGGCGACCAAGUUAUAAGGAGCUCCAGUAUAUAUGUGAUGGUGACAGCAAUGGAGUUCUGUACUUUGCUGGUACAUCUUAUGGGGAACACCAGUGGGUUAAUCCUGUUUUGUCUAAGCGAAUCACAAUUACAGCAAGCAGUCCUACUUCAAGAUACACCGACCCAAAGGCAUUGGUAUCAAGAACUUACCAGGGAACAUGU